Orbicella faveolata is the source of this 1513-nucleotide long non-coding RNA. Lineage: Eukaryota; Metazoa; Cnidaria; Anthozoa; Scleractinia; Merulinidae. The record is from RefSeq and is a predicted model, not a curated record.
AUACAGAGGUGAUUAGCUCGUGUGAGUGGAAGUUCUGUACUUUAAGUGGGGGGAGAAUUAGGAACUAGACAGCACUGAACUAGAUCAAAAUGAUGUGCAGCAGAAACGCUUAGCUGAUUAAAUUAUCAAUUUGAAAGUUGAUAAAAAGUGAAUUCGGGGAAUCGUGUCGAACCUGAAAACCUGAUCAGUGGAACGUUAAUAGCCGUUUGUGUAAGCAAACUCGGUGAUAAGGGGCAGGGGGAGGGGGAAAUUGAUUCGAAUUAUGACGGACGACUUUGAGAUACUUGCUGAAGUUUUCAAGGCUCACAGAGUGUGACAAAUUCAUGAAUGAAUGGUCGAAACGCUCAAAAAGUGAGCUUUGGGUUAAUUUAUAAUUUACUUUAUGUCUUCUUUUAGUCGAUCAUCAACUGUAGAUUUCUUGUCGAGGGUGGAAUUUUCACGUUACAUAACGUUGCACAAGUUGAACUAAAAUCAAGAAAUGAAUUUCUCUUGGCAUUUUUGGAAUAACCAGAGGUCGACAGAGACAAGAAGGCAUGGGGGAGAACGGGGCUGGGAAGGGAACCGAACGUUACUGGAAAGAAACCCAGUGGGAGAAGGAACUAAGAAACCGCGGUAGCGGACACUUUUUGGACAUCAUGUUUUUUCUUCGAUUAAAUUUUAUACCGGGGAACCCAGUAACUUUUUUAAAAGUAGGACCGGCCUUCUGUGACUCGCCGCCCAACUCUCCCAUUCUGUGAGUUGCGUGACCGAACCCCGGCUGCUACCUGGGAACAGGCUCCGCCCCUCCUUUUGUCCCCUCUCCCCGAAAACUGUGAAGAGAGUCGAUAAGUCCUAAUAUUCUUGUUUUUAUUUAUGGCGUUCACAAUUGUACCCUUGGAAUUUUAUUACUUACCCAAACCUGAACUUCGAGGUAAUUUCGACUACAUUAUUCUGCUAGCAUCGGAUUAGACAUUCCACCGACCGUCCCAUAAAGUUAUUUUGCUCCCCGCCCCCUGCAGACAAACUAUCGAUUUCUUCUGACACCAAACAGAUCAGUUGCGGAAAGAAGGCGCAUUUGGUGCGUGGAAGAUUCCCGGGAAAAUUCUGAGAAAACCAAUUCAGAGAAAGUACAGUUUGCAAGCUUUUGUCCGAUAGCUAAUUAAGCCUGUAGAUACCAUGAGUCAAGCACCUUAUCCACCUGGUGGAUAUUCUUAUGGACCUGGACAAGGAUAUCAGUCAGGUCAACCUCCAGUUGGUUUUGCUCCAUAUGCACAACAAGGGUAUGGACAACCACCCCCUCAGCAGCAGGGUUAUGGACCCCCACCCCCUCAGCAACAAGGAUAUGGGUCCUUGGCUAUAAGUGGUAAGCGAUUAAUUAUUAAGUAAAUCAUAAUUAUUUUGUUAUUUAAUAUCUCAUCAUUAAUAUUAUGCAUGGCUGCUGUUAAUUUAAUAAACCUAAAUGUUACCAUGGUUAAACAGUUUUAUACAUGUGAAAAGUGAACUGAUCAACAUGACACGAGCAUAGGACAAAGAA